RNAcentral lists this ribosomal RNA (649 nucleotides) under uncultured bacterium. Its description in RNAcentral is "bacterial SSU rRNA". It matches the Rfam family "Bacterial small subunit ribosomal RNA", at positions 504 to 1156 of the family's 1533-position model. The record is from RNAcentral.
UGUCCCAGCAGCCGCGGUAAUACGGAGGAUCCGANUGUUAUCCGGAUUUAUUGGGUUUAAAGGGUGCUCAGGCGGGGGAUUAAGUCGGCGGUGAAAUUUUGCAGCUCAACUGUAAAAGUGCCUUCGAAACUGGUUUCCUUGAGUGCGGAUGAGGUAGGCGGAAUUUGUGGUGUAGCGGUGAAAUGCAUAGAUAUCACGAGGAACUCCGAUUGCGCAGGCAGCUUACCAAGCCGUAACUGACGCUCAAGCACGAAGGCGUGGGGAUCAAACAGGAUUAGAUACCCUGGUAGUCCACGCAGUAAACGAUGAUUACUGGCUGUUUGCGAUAUAAUGUAAGCGGCUGAGCGAAAGCGUUAAGUAAUCCACCUGGGGAGUACGUUCGCAAGAAUGAAACUCAAAGGAAUUGACGGGGGCCCGCACAAGCGGAGGAACAUGUGGUUUAAUUCGAUGAUACGCGAGGAACCUUACCCGGGCUUGAAAUGCAUCUGGCGUCCCGAGAGAUCGGGAUUUCCCACGGGACAGAUGCGUAGGUGCUGCAUGGUUGUCGUCAGCUCGUGCCGUGAGGUGUCGGCUUAAGUGCCAUAACGAGCGCAACCCCUACCGUUAGUUGCCAUCAGGUCAAGCUGGGGACUCUAACGGGACUGCCAUC